RNAcentral lists this ribosomal RNA (253 nucleotides) under uncultured bacterium. RNAcentral describes it as "partial 16S ribosomal RNA". It matches the Rfam family "Bacterial small subunit ribosomal RNA", at positions 524 to 776 of the family's 1533-position model. The record is from RNAcentral.
UACGGGGGGGGCAAGCGUUGUUCGGAAUUACUGGGCGUAAAGGGGUCGUAGGUGGCCAACUAAGUCAGACGUGAAAUCCCUCAGCUUAACUGGGGAACUGCGUCUGAGACUGGAUGGCUUGAGUGCAGGAGAGGAACGCGGAAUUCCAGGCGUAGCGGUGAAAUGCGUAGAUAUCUGGAGGAACACCGGUGGCGAAGGCGGCGUUCUGGACUGCAACUGACACUGAGGAACGAAAGCCAGGGGAGCAAACGGG